UGCCUUAUAACUGUUUGUUGUUUCAUGG
Molecule: non-coding RNA, 28 nt
Filed under: Mus musculus (house mouse)
Lineage: Eukaryota; Metazoa; Chordata; Mammalia; Rodentia; Muridae
Source: RNAcentral